This 430-nucleotide ribosomal RNA is filed under the name uncultured bacterium. RNAcentral describes it as "bacterial SSU rRNA". It matches the Rfam family "Bacterial small subunit ribosomal RNA", at positions 354 to 796 of the family's 1533-position model. The record is from RNAcentral.
GUGGGGAAUCUUGCGCAAUGGGCGAAAGCCUGACGCAGCGACACCGCGUGAGGGACGAAGGCCUUCGGGUUGUAAACCUCUUUCGGCAGGGACGAAGCGAACGUGACGGUACCUGCAGAAGAAGCUCCGGCUAACUACGUGCCAGCAGCCGCGGUAAGACGUAGGGAGCGAGCGUUGUCCGGAUUCAUUGGGCGUAAAGAGCGCGCAGGCGGUUUGGUAAGUCGGAUGUGAAAGCCCGGGGCUCAACCCCGGACCUGCAUCCGAUACUGCCCGACUAGAGGUAGGUAGGGGAGAUCGGAAUUCCUGGUGUAGCGGUGAAAUGCGCAGAUAUCAGGAGGAACACCGGUGGCGAAGGCGGAUCUCUGGGCCUUACCUGACGCUCAGGCGCGAAAGCUAGGGGAGCGAACAGGAUUAGAUACCCUUGUAGUCC